GUUUGCGUGGGGCGGCGUGGACGGGAAGUACCCCACAACCAUGAGACCUUCCAGAGACAAUAGCGUGGGGCCACCAGCCAAAAGAGGAAGAAAGUGAGGGGCCUCCUGGGGAAUAGAGGAGUCAGAGAGGGCAAUGUUCAGACUAAAGACAGCUGAGAGACGCUGGACACCUUACUCGUGACCAGAUUUGAGUCGGGAACACCCAGCGUCCAACAGCUGCUUCCUCAGAAGCCUAGCGCUACCCUUUCUCAGUUUGAGUUUCAAUCUCAGAAAAGAAGAUCAAAACGACAGGCUCCAGGAACAAACAUUGCGCUGCCUCCUUUGUUUUGGAGGAAAGACAGGGUGUGAAGUUUUCAGUCAUUUUUGUCGAGGAACCCAGAUCAAAAGGGACCUACAGAGGGGCCAGGUCACAUGAGUGCAGGGUAGAGGCACUUGAACAGCGGAGCAUCUGGUCCCUGCCUGCCUCUGACUCAUCUGUUACCACAACCAAGAUGUUACCAGAGCUCCUGUGUUGCCUCCAUAUUCAAAGGCAUAAGAAUUCCGGGAUGCAAGGGGAUUGCUGCCUCCCAACGUAUGCAAAGUCGGUGAUAAACGUAUAGAAACUAAUUUCCAGUUUUUGCGCUCCUCCUGCAUCCAGCACUAAUUUCCAAGGUGCUUCCCAUCUGACGCUUAACAUCUGACUCGGUCAAACGCUUUCAUCACCACUUUCUGUAGAACGCUUCGAUUUUCUCAUUAAAAUAAUGCAUACUCAGCUCGCUGGGUGAAAACAUUACUAGGAACAUGUAAGGG
This 789-nucleotide long non-coding RNA is filed under the name Equus caballus (horse). Its description in RNAcentral is "lncRNA (ENSECAG00000050305.1)". The record is from RNAcentral. Lineage: Eukaryota; Metazoa; Chordata; Mammalia; Perissodactyla; Equidae.